This 274-nucleotide ribosomal RNA is filed under the name uncultured bacterium. Its description in RNAcentral is "partial 16S ribosomal RNA". It matches the Rfam family "Bacterial small subunit ribosomal RNA", at positions 523 to 796 of the family's 1533-position model. The record is from RNAcentral.
AUACGGAGGGGGCUAGCGUUGUUCGGAAUCACUGGGCGUAAAGCGCGCGUAGGCGGAUUGGUCAGUUGGGGGUGAAAUCCCGAGGCUCAACCUCGGAACUGCCUCCAAAACUGCCAGUCUCGAGUCCGGGAGAGGUGAGUGGAAUUCCGAGUGUAGAGGUGAAAUUCGUAGAUAUUCGGAGGAACACCAGUGGCGAAGGCGACUCACUGGCCCGGUACUGACGCUGAGGUGCGAAAGCGUGGGGAGCAAACAGGAUUAGAAACCCUUGUAGUCC